GCAGCCAUAGCUCAGUUGGUUAGAGCGCUCGCCUGUCACGCGAGAGGUCGCGGGUUCAAGUCCCGCUGGUUGCGCCA
RNAcentral lists this transfer RNA (77 nucleotides) under Pseudomonas phage phiK7B1. RNAcentral's name for it is "tRNA-Asp". It matches the Rfam family "tRNA". Rfam says of the family: Transfer RNA (tRNA) molecules are approximately 80 nucleotides in length. Their secondary structure includes four short double-helical elements and three loops (D, anti-codon, and T loops). RNAcentral also lists the same sequence under 2 other names. The record is from RNAcentral. Lineage: Duplodnaviria; Heunggongvirae; Uroviricota; Caudoviricetes.